This 453-nucleotide ribosomal RNA is filed under the name uncultured bacterium. Its description in RNAcentral is "bacterial SSU rRNA". It matches the Rfam family "Bacterial small subunit ribosomal RNA", at positions 340 to 786 of the family's 1533-position model. The record is from RNAcentral.
UACGGAAGGCAGCAGUGGGGAAUAUUGCACAAUGGGCGAAAGCCUGAUGCAGCUAUGCCGCGUGUAUGAAGAAGGCCUUAGGGUUGUAAAGUACUUUCAUCGGGGAGGAAAAACAAAACUAAUAAUUUUAUUUCUUGACGUUACCCGAAAAAGAAGCACCGGCUAACUCCGUGCCAGCAGCCGCGGUAAUACGGAGGGUGCUAGCGUUAAUCAGAAUUACUGGGCGUAAAGAGCACGUAGGUGGUUUUUUUAAGUCAGAUGUGAAAUCCCUGGGCUUAACCUGGAACUGCAUUUUGAAACUGAAAUACUAGAGUAUCGUAGAGGGAGGUAGAAUCUAGGUGUAGCGGUGAAAUGCGUAGAUAUCUGGAGGAAUACCUGUGGCGAAAGCGGCCUCCUAAACGAAUACUGACACUGAGGUGCGAAAGCGUGGGGAGCAAACAGGGAUUAGAUACC